Molecule: long non-coding RNA, 2532 nt
Organism: Pogoniulus pusillus (Red-fronted tinkerbird)
Lineage: Eukaryota; Metazoa; Chordata; Aves; Piciformes; Lybiidae
Exons: 2
Source: RefSeq, a predicted model, not a curated record
UUAGAUGUCCUGGUGUACCCCACCCUUCUGCUGAUGGGGGAAGCAAAGGACAGGAGGAAAACAAAGGCUUGGGCCAUUAUGUCCCCUCCCAAAGUGAUAAACAGGUACCCACAGGUGUUUGGGUACUUGCUGGUGUCUUGCCCAAAUAAGGGUGAGCAAGCCCUGGUUCCACCUAAUACGGUCAGCUUUGCAAAUGCCAUUCUGAUUGGUGAAUCUCUGUGGCCAAAGGAGCCAUUACACUCAGGCAAAGAAUAUAAAUUGAGCUAAAUUGCAAGCAGUUGUGCUGCCCCUGCUUCACUGUGUGCUGCCUCUGCCUUCCUGUUCUUCGACAACAUGUUCUGCUCUGCCUCAUGCUUCAGACGAGUUUAGCCCUGAUAUUUUGCGCUUGAACUAUCUGGAAACUUAAAUGCCUCAAGUUUCCCAGGAGAAGGCAUUUAAGUGCCUCAUGGCAUGGCAAGAAGUGCCAGCGACGUGGUGCUCUCUGCACAUCUGCAAGAGAUCCUGCCUGCACCUCUGCAAGCCUCCACGCCAAGAGGAAUCAGGAUCAGAUCAGAGACUGUCUGCCUCUUUCCCAGCACCCUGGGAAGAUCUAGAAGCCUCUCAGCAGCUGAGCAAUUCCAACACUGCCACAAAGGAGCCAGGGAUUAUCUUGAAAUUUCUACUCGACCGCAAUAAAACUUCAGGGGAGGAAAAAGAUGACAACAGCAAUGACAACAAUUGACACUCAUUUCUCUUUAUUUAAAUCUGGAGAGUUAACAGCCACAAUCAAGAAUAUUCCAUGGGUGUGUGCAAGUACCCUUGUAUGGAGUGUAUGGCAUGGAAUACAUUUACCAACUCCACAAGCAGAAAUCUUAGGAAGCUGUGGCAUAAAACACUCAUAAAAAGCGUUCUUAAUUGCCUUCCAUUUCUGAAUGGCUGGAAAAGCCUGGAGUGAAGACUGCAAUCAAUCCCUAGGAAGGAAAUAUCCUAUCAGUCCUAAGUGAGAGACAGCACCUGGGGCAUCAGCUUUUUUGACAGCAUUCCAAUGUUUAGACUUAAGUGGUAGUACACCUGCAAUCAGCUUAGUGCCCUCCUCUGUCUGAAACAAACAAAUGUGCCAAAGGGAGCACUGUGCAAAUGUGGCUGAAUAUAUCAGCUGCUUUUGUAAGAGAAGGGAGAGAAACCCUACCCACCAGUAACAUUAUGAGGCGAAGAAAACAUCCUCAGAAUCCUCCAAGUACAGCAUCAAGAGAAACCUUCAACUCAUUUUUGAUGCUCAAUCUCCUGCUGCAGCAGAUGAGCAGGUUCCCUGAGAUAUGCCUAAGGAAAGUCUGGCUCCUGCAUUCACAAUUUACAGACAGGAAAGCUUCAAUGCAGCAGAAGGAUAACCAGCAUGCUACAUCAAGAGUGAAAUACAGAGGAAGAAAUAAACCCCAAGCAUCAGGUGGUGUUAACUAAUUCUCCUCUUAUUUCAAACAGGAAAAUAACCAAAAGAAAGGAGACAAAGGGAACAAGAGUGGCAAUCAGGUUUAUUGGGCUCAGGCAGUGAGACACAUAACACAACGUUAAGGCCACUCGACAUGAGGCUAAAGCAUACCAGCAGCUAAAUCUUUCCCUUUCCUCUCUCCAGCUGUAAGGAUGACAGAUUCUUAACUAAGCAUGGCAGAAAAUGGGGUUCAAGAUUACUCAAGUCCCCGAGCAUGCAGAUGGCACACCUGCCAGCCAACUAUCUACAGUCCCUCCGUGAACAUGGCAGGCUGUGAGAGGAGAGCAGGAAGAAGAGUCUGUACCCUUGCAUGAGUAGUUUAGCAGAGAGCAAAACAAAAUCAAAACAAACUUGCUGCAAGGUGAAAGUGACAUAGUUCAGAACAUCAUACCAGAUAAACCCUGAAGUUGGGACAAAUAAUGAAAUAAUCUAAUCUAACCUCCUUUAUAAUAUGCAGGCCAUAAAAUUUCACUCAGGCCAGAGGACAUCACUCUUAUCAAUUCCAGGCCUCAUCAUUUGAUGGGAUUGUAAACAAUCUUCCUCAUAUUAACUCCUUAAGAAGAGCAGUUGCCUGCAACAGCUCCAAACAGCCUCUGAUUGAAUUUACCCUCUUACAUAUACCUAAUCUUCAGCAACACUUCUCAUAUAAACAACCCCACACUUCAGCCACUGGAGAGACCUAUCAACAGCAACCAACUUCUCAAGAACAGGUACGAUGAAGUCAGCCAGUCUGAGGCAGUGUGACUGGCACAAGCACACGUGGAGGGCUGCUAUUGUUAUUCUAAGGAUAUUAUGCCACGGACACAUGCAAUACCCUCCCAGAGUGGAUGACAGAAUCCCUUCUGCAAUUUCCUACCUGGCAAAACAUAUACAAGCGAGUCUUGUCUGUGUACAGAGCACAUUACCAGUUCAACCAAGAGGCAAAAGAAGUCUCAAAGUCACCUCUGGACAUGACACCACCUUCUUUGCUACCUGUUCAUCUUUUCCCUACCCUAUCAACCCUUCCUACACGCAACACAGACGUAUCUUUACUGUAGCACACCCAGCAACUGCUGAGGUUCUCACAU